This is a long non-coding RNA of Neodiprion virginianus, 2520 nucleotides long. RefSeq lists it as uncharacterized. Lineage: Eukaryota; Metazoa; Arthropoda; Insecta; Hymenoptera; Diprionidae. The transcript has 4 exons. The record is from RefSeq and is a predicted model, not a curated record.
CUUCAGAAGCUGCACACUCCGGAUCGCUUUUACAGGCUGCAGCUCUCGCCGGGCAAAUAUUCUGCUCCAAUAGCGUCGGACAUCGUCCCGUCACGUGGAGCGCUGAGUGCUCUGCGAAAACGACGUAUCAUGAAUGUUUUUUGGAUUCUUUGGACGAUCGACAAACCUGAAAUAUUCUACUCACCGGCUGUAACGGAAUGCGAUGAAAACAAGGCGAAGAUCUGGAAGGUUAAUAUCAACACCCACACAACGGCGCAGGCAUUUCCCCCGCUGCAAAAGUCACGGCGCAUCCUCAACACAUCAAGGGGAUUUUUAAUACCUCACUAUUCUGAAAGAAGAGGAAACACGUUUCAUCGUUAGCCUCUCCCUCCUUCUCUCUCACUUUGUCGUCGUGGGGAAAAUACGAGAACGGUGAACCGCUGCUCCUGGAGGAAUUGGCCCCGUGGAUGCGUGAAUGACCAUCGGGUCCAGGAUCUAUAGAUCUAUUCACCAUUCGUCGGAAGUUUCUUCUCCGAAACUCGAGUCUAUCGGGGUGAAGGUUACGGCCAUGAAUCGUCUCGACGAUGGAAUUAACCUGGAUUAGACUCGGCCAAAAAUGAUCGACGAGGCAAAACUGAUCUAAUUUCAAAAAUGUCGGAUAAAUCACUGCUGCAGCAGGCGAGGCGAAGAGAAUCCGUUGGCUGCGUUGGACGAAGAACGGGUUCCAGUCUUGGCGGUUGAACCCGCUCUCAUGCAGGCGGCGGCAUUCCGAAACGCCUGAAGGCGUUUCUUCGUCGAGGCCCAGUGACCGACAUUCGGUCGUUCGUGACGCGACGCCUCCUCUCCACCUCUCUUUCUCUCUCUCUCUCUCUCUGAGGCAGGUUCUUCACCUGCAUCUCGUCGCCGUCCCACGUCGGAAUCAUCGUACCUCUUAUGUUUGUUUUGUUUUUGGGUACUUUUUUUCAACAUUUUUCUUCCCCAAUUUAUAUUCUAAUUUUAAAAUUCCUCGCCCCGAAGAACUUUUUAUACAUUACAUUCCGACCUAUCUGUUUUAUUCAUGUCUCUCUUCGGGUAUCAAAGAGAAAGAGAGUAAGUGUGUGUGUGUGUGUGUGUGUGUGUGUGUGUGUGUGUGUGUAAGAGAGAGAGAGAGCAUCGCUGAUAAGAACCUGUAUCGAGGGAUUUUCAAACGACGGGGAAAAGGAGGGGAGGUUCCAGCCGAACGGUGGGAGCGAGAAGACGCCGUGAAAUCCGUGAUCGAAGGUCUAGGUCGCGGAGCUUCCUUGUACCGGUGAUUUCAACGCGCCUUGACACACUGCACUCGGUUCCGGUACACCUAAUUAUGAGUCAUUUUUCGGCUGUUCACCCACUAAAAAUUCCGCUUCUUGUUACGUGCUAAUUUCGUCGAUAUCUCUUUUUCUCUCUCUACCGUUUUGUGUCGAUCUUUUACCAAAUUACCAAUGAUUAAUAUUGAAAUAAAUAAUCGAAGCUUGAGAUAGUAUAUAUGUAUCGUGCGUUUGUCCCUGAGUAUGUUUCGAAUUGUCUGUCUAAACGCAUUGCAAUGUUCACACACCUUCCUCAAUUAGACGUAGAAUUCAAAAGUUUAAAAAGUCCAUAAGCAGUGCGAAUUUUUUUCACGCAUGCCAGUUUUCUGAUACAAAAAUCAAUCCUUACCUCACGCGUGAUCAAUAAUUGGAUCGCACGAAUUGGGAUUGAUUAUAAUUUUGUAAUUUUUCUUUGUUGGUAAAAUUGUGUGAAAUAUCUAUAAGAAAACAGCAGACCUCACGUUGAAAAAAAAAAACCACUAAUAAUCAUACAAUAUCAAUAUUAUAUAGUUCUUCUCAAAUCCACCCAAUUGUAACAAACGUUUGUUUGCAAUUGCGUGACAAUCUUUCCGUGCGACGACGCGUAUCCCGAAUUCCCAUGCAUGGCUACGGAUUCUACCGGAUGUAGGUUAGUGUCGAAGCGUCUCUGAGUGCUCUCCGCGAGCGUAUAUCCGGGGUAUUUUAUCAAUUAAUAAAUCUAGCUCAACGAAACCCGAUGUAUAUAUAUAUAUAUAUAUAUCGCGGGAAAGGCGGGUAGCGAUGAUGAUGCUCGUGUCUCUGUAUGUGUGUAUUUAUUUACGUAUGUAUGUAUGUGUGUUAUUGCACGUACGUACGUAUAGCGUUAAAUUCGUUACCUGUGAAACCCGGACGUUUGCAAAUGCGGUAUGUAUUAUGUAGGUAGGAUAACGGUGACCUACCGCCGCAGCUCUUUUCACAAAGUGUAUUUUACGCCGCUGCCAUUGCGGCCUCCACACUCGCACACAUUCGCAGGAAAUAUAUAUAUCUCGUACUCGAGUUUGCGGAUUCGUGCAUACAUACCCAUUUCCUAUCUCUGCGCAGUCCGUUUAUAGGUAGGCACAUACCUCUGAAAACGAUUUCACGGAGACGCGUCAUGUUGCGGUAUUGUUCGAAAUUUAAAGGCAACUAGUAGAAAUCGAAAAAACUUCUUUGUUACUGUAGACUCUAGCCGUAAUAAAAAUUCUCAUCGAUUUUCAGAAAA